GAAAUUGAUCUCCCCGUGAAGAAGCGGGGAUAUAAAUAUAAGACGAGAAGACCCCAUGGAGCUUUAAACCCAACAACACCUAUCUAUUUUAUUCCCCCAUAUUUAUACGGUUAUGUUUGUUUGGUUUUAGGUUGGGGUGACCGCGGAGUAUAAAACAACCUCCACGAAGAAAAGACUAAUAAUCUUUAUCAGAGAAAGACAUUUCUAAGAAAUAAUAUAUUAACUUUAAAUGAUCCGAUAUUCGAUUAACGAAUCAAGUUACCCUGGGGAUAACAGCGCAAUCCACCUUAAGAGCCCUUAUCGACAGGUGGGUUUACGACCUCGAUGUUGGAUCAGGGUAUCACAGUGGUGCAGCAGCUACUAAUGGUUCGUUUGUUCAACGAUUAAAACCCU
This 393-nucleotide ribosomal RNA is filed under the name Boophis luciae. RNAcentral describes it as "partial 16S ribosomal RNA". It matches the Rfam family "Bacterial large subunit ribosomal RNA", at positions 2038 to 2597 of the family's 2925-position model. Lineage: Eukaryota; Metazoa; Chordata; Amphibia; Anura; Mantellidae. The record is from RNAcentral.